RNAcentral lists this ribosomal RNA (254 nucleotides) under uncultured bacterium. Its description in RNAcentral is "partial 16S ribosomal RNA". It matches the Rfam family "Bacterial small subunit ribosomal RNA", at positions 524 to 776 of the family's 1533-position model. The record is from RNAcentral.
UACGUAGGGUGCGAGCGUUGUCCGGAAUUAUUGGGCGUAAAGAGCUCGUAGGCGGUCUGUCGCGUCGGUCGUGAAAACUUGGGGCUUAACCCUGAGCUUGCGGUCGAUACGGGCAUGACUGGAGUUCGGUAGGGGAGACUGGAAUUCCUGGUGUAGCGGUGAAAUGCGCAGAUAUCUGGAGGAACACCGGUGGCGAAGGCGGCAUCCUGGACCGGCAUUGACGCUGAGGCGCGAAAGCCAGGGGAGCAAACGGG